RNAcentral lists this ribosomal RNA (881 nucleotides) under uncultured Moryella sp. Its description in RNAcentral is "partial 16S ribosomal RNA". The stretch from base 28 to 322 matches the Rfam family "Bacterial small subunit ribosomal RNA", at positions 57 to 352 of the family's 1533-position model. Lineage: Bacteria; Bacillati; Bacillota; Clostridia; Lachnospirales; Lachnospiraceae. The record is from RNAcentral.
GGUGACGCUCCCUACGGGCUUACACAUGCAAGUCGAGGCGAAACGGCAUUGAGUGCUUGCACUCUUUGGACGUCGACCGGCCCACGGUUGAGUACCGCGUGUCCAACCCCCCCAUUACUGUGGGAUAACCUGCCAAACGGCAUACUAUUGCCGCAUAGGCUUCGAUGAUGGCAUCAGAUUUAAAGAUAAACUAUCGGUACGGGAUGGGGUUCCCCCUGAAAACUUGUUGGCGGGGUAACCGCCCUCCAACUCCACGUUGUAGGCGGCACGUGUGGAGGUCCGCCUCUGGGGGACUGAAAAAGGGGCCCGCCCCAACGUAAGCCUAUUAAAAAAAUGGGGUAAUGAACGGGAGUGCUUGUGGCCAGGGGGGUGGGGAAGAGGGCCCUUGGUUGAGACGAUUUUGAUUGGGGGAUUUUGGGGUUUGUAGGCGUUUGGGUCACCGGAUGGUAUUGCGCAUUUCAUGUGGGGUGGUGAGGAUUGGAAUGACAAUGUUGCCAAAAUUUGUGGUUUAAAAGGCUUUGAGAAAAUAAUGGGGUAAAUUGAAGAGUGCAAAGAAGGUUCGAUGUUCGCAUCAGUGAGGAGGACAUAGGUGUGGUCGUGGCGUUGAAAUUGGAAUAUAUUUUGUUCCGUUUUUGAUUGGUGGGGGUUUGUGGGUGGUGGGUGUUUUGUGUGAAAUGACGUUUGUGUGGUGGUGGCGUGUGGGGUGGGUUGGUGUGCGUGUGGAUCAGACUGUGUAUGAUGUUAUGAUGUUUUUGACUUGCACAGCUGCUGUUUGUAACCCUCUGUCGUAAUUAAUGUAGAUUGUAAAAUAAAUGUGUGUGUGUUUUUGUGUUUGUGUGUGUGUUGUGUGUGAUUGGUGUAUGCUGUGAAGUUGUGUGUGU